GGGCCAGCACUGGAGACCAAAGUUCUUUUUAUCCACAGGAAAGGUACAGCACAGACAAAUGCAGGGCAAGCACCCCACUGCUCUGCCCCACCAAUGUGGGUCAGCCCUACCCUGUAGGGGUCCAGUCCUGGGAGAGAAGGAAGUUCAGUCUCCAAACAUCAUUCUCUCCUUGCUCUCU
Molecule: small RNA, 178 nt
Filed under: Chrysemys picta bellii (western painted turtle)
Lineage: Eukaryota; Metazoa; Chordata; Testudines; Emydidae
Description: TUC338 (ENSCPBG00000007749.1)
Source: RNAcentral